Molecule: long non-coding RNA, 8582 nt
Filed under: Malus domestica (apple)
Lineage: Eukaryota; Viridiplantae; Streptophyta; Magnoliopsida; Rosales; Rosaceae
Description: long non-coding RNA (MDOM_LNC003219)
Source: RNAcentral
UUAACAUGUGAAAUGUCCGGAAAGUAUCAUCAUAUGAUUGGUUUUAGGGCACAUUUCCAACAGGAUCCACUCCCUUGGGCGAUGUGGGUUGUUACAUUACACAUCAAUAUGCAGUGUAGCUGCAAUAACUGAACGUAAUGCAUGGGUAAAGGCCGAACAAAUGUAAAACUAAUCUCUAUUAUUUAAAUGUUUCGCGAAGUUUUUUGUGGCGUGGUAGUUGUUUUAUUACUAUUGUUCAUUCCACUAUCAUUUAGAUAAUGCUUUACAACUCAAAGCGAUAAAGUGAAGUCGUAACAAGGCAUCAAAGCAAAUACAUCGAAAUUUUAUUCUGACGUAGGAAAUAUCCCACAAAUUUUUUAGCCCUAUAGAAGUUCAAUUCUCUGCUUAAGAUAGCGAAGAAUGAGGUGGGACGGAUAUUACAAUUAUACAAUGAUUAAAUACUCGGUCAGCUCUAGCUUGAAUGGCAGUUUUGUUUCCGGUGUGCUCAUAUGUAAAGGUGUUGUUCACAAAAACAUUAUGGCAUGGUUUUCCCAACGCCACAAGGGCCCGGCAACUAAAGUCACCAAUUUUCUUCCCUUUGAAAACAUAGUUGUACACGUCGAAUGCAUACUUUAUGCUGAAAUGCUUUUUGCACUCAACAACGGCCGGCGAAUCAUCCAAAUGCGCCAACGUUGGAAGUGCGCAAUUCGCCAAUAGCAAAAUGACCAUAAUUGUAAACAUGUUUAGUCUGGCCAUAAUGGUGGAAAGAAUGAGUAACUUUUGAUUUUCUUAGAAACUGAUCCCUUAGAUGCAGUUGAACUUUGACACAAUGAGUUGUACACUUAUAAGGGACGAGGCAAAGGUGCGAGUCAUUCGUAAAAUGAAAAACGCAUUUUCCUUUAAAACUACUUUAGCAACGUAUUUACUGAUGUGAGGUAUCAAAUACGGGAGUUUCUAAUUUGAUAUUUAUUUUGGUACCAUAAACGCAACUUACAAGUUCCCAUACAUUGUUUAAUUAAUCUCAACAAUCAAAUAGCUAUUUAUUAUUUCACACAAAAAUUACUUGUUUCAAAUUAAUACACUAACUAGUUUGUUACAAUAGAGUUGCGAAAACCGUGAACUGAACUUUCAUGUCGUGUUAGUGGCUAUCGUUGCGUGAAAAUGAAAUGACAAGCAGGAAAAAGAGCGCGACUAGCCUUAAUUGUUCUGCAGUAAAUGGACAAACGUAUUUCUCGGCAUCAUUAUUCCUACUAUAUCAAAAUGAAAAAUGUGGAGUAAGAGAUUAAUAUGUUAAGAAGCGAAGAUUUGUUGAAGUCCAAUAGAUUAAGUAAAUGAGCACCCCUUUCUUAGUAAACUCAUUUUAGCAUAAAUUUGCAUUAUAUCGCACCCUACUGCGUAUGGUACAAUACUCAUGCCCUACAACAUCAAAUAUAAUGGUAAUGAGUUGCAGUUGCGUCAAUGAUAAGUUGAAAAUCAUUCAACAAAUAUUCUAGUUUUGUUUAUUCAGACCAAAGAAAAAAAGACGAAAAAAAAAAGAUACGGAGGUAUAAUAAUUUUUAUGACUGGAAUUGUACCUCUCAUAUAUAUAUAUAAAUAAUUUCUUUGGAUUGGAGUUCAUAAAGCAUGGUACAUAUAAUUUUGCUAGCUUCCCUUUUUGCGAUGCAAAAUGAACACACUUUUUGCAAAGUGUGGAAUGUCCAUAGCAACUUGAACCAAAUGGCCAAUAAGAGUCAAUCAAAAGUCUUUCACAAGCCUAUUUCAACGUCGUUUUGUAAGAAGUUUGGGCAAUACGCCAUGGCGAAAAGCAACAUAUGUUUCUAGAAACAUAAGCAUUACAUGUCACAUCCCGGCCCAGGCUCCCACCACAUCCGAACUCGACUCCACCGUAGCACGACAUUGUCCGCUUUCAGCCCCCGGCCACACCCUCACGGUUUUGCUUCUGGGAACUCACACGAGAAUUUCCCAGUGGGUCACCCAUCAUGUGAUUGCUUUCACACGAACUCACUGAACUUCUGAGUUCCGAUGGAACCCGGAGCCAGUGAUCUCCCAAAAGGCCUCAUGCUAGGUAGCGUUGGGAAUAUACAUAUAAGGCUUACAAGAUCCAAAUGAAUAUGCAGUGUAGCUGCAAUAACCGAACGUAAUGCACGGGUAAAGAGCGCGGCUAGCCUUAAUUGUUCUGCAGUAAAUGGACAAACGUAUUUCUCGUCAUCAUUAUUCCUACUAUAUGAAAAUAAAAAUGUGGAGUAAGAGAUGAAUUUGUUAAGAAGUGAAGAAUUGUUGAAGUCCAAUAGAUUAAGUAAAUAAGCACACAUUUCUUGGUAAACUCAUUUUAGCAAAAAUUAGUAUUAUAUCGCACUCUACUGUGUAUGGUACAAUACUCAUGCCUCACAAGCCCGAAUAUAAUGUUAAUGACUUGCAGUUGCGUCAUUGAUAAGUUUCAAAUCAUUCAACCAAUAUUCUAGUUUUGGUUAUUCAGACCAAAGAAAAAAAGAUGGAAAAAAGAAGAUACGGAGGUAUAAUAAUUUUUAUGACUGGAAUUGUACCUCUUAUAUAUAUAAAUAAUUUCUUUGGAGUGGAGUUCCAUAAAGCAUUGUACAUAUUAUUUUGCUAGCUUCCCUUUUUGCGGUGCAAAAUGAACACACUUUUUACAAAGUGUAGAAUGUCCAUAACAACCUGCACCAAAGGGCCAAUAAGAGUCAAUCAAAAGUCUUUCAUAAGCCUAUUUCAACUUCGUUUUGUAAGAAGUUUGGGCAAUACGCCAUGGCGAAGAGCAACAUAAGUUUCUAGAAGAAAUAAACAUUACAUGUCACAUCCUGGCCUAUGCUCUCACCACAUCCCGAACUCGACUCCACCGUAGCACGAUAUUGUCCGCUUUGGGCCCCGAUGACGCCAUCACCAUUUUGUUUCAGGGAACUCACACGAGAGCUUCCCAGUGGGUCACCCGUCAUGGGAUUGCUCUCGCACGAACUCAAUCAACUUCAGAGUUCCGAUGGAACACAAAGCCAGUGAGCUCCCAAAAGGUCUCGUGCAAGGUAGAGAUGGGAAUAUGCGUAUAAGGCUUACAGGAUCCACUCCCUUGGGCGAUGUGGGAUGUUACAUUACACAUCAAUAUGCAGUGUAGCUGCAAUAACCGAACGUAAUGCACGGGUAAAGGCCGAACAAAUGUAAAACUAAUCUCUAUUACUUACAAUGUUUCGCGAAGUUUUUUAAGUUGGCGUGGUAGUUGAUUUAUUGCUAUUGUUCAUUCCACUAUCAUUUAGAUAAUGCGUUACAACUCAAAGCGAAAAAGUGAAGUCGUAACAAGGCAUCAAAGCAAAUACAUCAAAUUUUAUUAUGACGUAGGAAAUAUCCCACAAAUUUUUUAGCCCUAUAGAAGUUCAAUUCUCUACUUAAGAUAGCGAAGAAUUAGGUGGGACGGAUGUUACAAUUAUACAAUGAUUAAAUACUCGGUCAGCUCUAGCUUGAAUGGCAGUUCUGUUUCCGGUGUGCUCAUAUGUAAAGGUGUUGUUCACGAAAACAUUAUGGCACGGUUUUCCCAACGCCACAAGGGCCCGGCAACUAAAGUCACCAAUUUUCUUCCCUUUGAAAACAUAAUUGUACACGUCGAAUGCAUACUUUAUGCUGAAAUGCUUUUUGCACUCAACCACGGCCGGCGAAUCAUCCAAAUGCGCCAACGUUGGAAUUGCGCAAUUCGCCAAAAGCAAAAUGACCAUAAUUGGAAACAUGUUUAGUCUGGCCAUAAUGGUGGAAAGAAUGAGUAACUUUUGAUUUUCUUAGAAAAUGAUCCCUUAGAUGCAGUUGAACUUUGACGCAAGGAGUUGUACACUUAUAAGGGACGAGGCAAAGGUCCGAGUCAUUCGUAAAAUGAAAAACGCAUUUUCCUUUAAAACUACUUUAGCAACGUAUUUACUGAUGUGAGUUAUCAAAUACGAGAGUUUCUAAUUUGAUAUUUAUUUUGGUACCAUAAACGCAACUUACAGGUUCCCAUAAAUUGUUUAAUUAAUCUCAACAAUCAAAUAGCUAUUUAUUAUUUCACAUAAAAAUUACUUGUUUCAAAUUAAUACAUUGACUAGUUUGUUACAAUAGAGUUGCGAAAACCGUGAACUGAACUUUCAUGUCGUGUUAGUGGCUAUCGUUGCGUGAAAAUGAGAUGACAAGCAGGAAAAAAAGCGCGACUAGCCUUAAUUGUUCUGCAAUAAAUGGACAAACGUAUUUCUCGUCAUCAUUAUUCCAACUAUAUUAAAAUGAAAAGUUGGAGUAAGAGAUUAAUUUGUUAAGAAGUGAAGAAUUGUUGAAGUCCAAUAGAUUAAGUAAAUGAGUACACGUUUCUUGGUAAACUCAUUUUAGGACAAAUUAGUAUUAUAUCGCACCCUACUGUGUAUGGUACAAUACUCAUGCCUUACAAGCCCGAAUAUAAUGUUAAUGAGUUGCAGUUGCGUCAAUGAUAAGUUUCAAAUCAUUCAACCAAUAUUCUAGUUUUGCUUAUUCAGACCAAAGAAAAAAAGAUGGAAAAAAAAAGAAACGGAGGGAAAAUAAUUUUUAUGACUGGAAUUGUACCUCUUAUAUAUAUAAAUAAUUUCUUUGGAGUGGAGUUCCAUAAAGCAUUGUACAUAUUACUUUGCUUGCUUCCCUUUUUGCGGUGCAAAAUGAACACACUUUUUACAAAGUGUAGAAUGUCCAUAACAACCUACACCAAAGGGCCAAUAAGAGUCAAUCAAAAGUCUUUCAUAAGCCUAUUUCAACUUCGUUUUGUAAGAAGUUUGGGCAAUACGCCAUGGCGAAGAGCAACAUAAGUUUCUAGAUAAAUAAGCAUUACAUGUCACAUCCUGGCCCAUGCUCUCACCACAUCCAGAACUCGACUCCACCGUAGCACGAUAUUGUUCGCUUUAGGCACCGACCACGCCGUCACCAUUUUGUUUCAGGGAACUCACAUGAGAGCUUCCCAAUGGGUCACCCAUCAUGGGAUUGCUCUCGCACGAACUCAAUCAACUUCAGAGUUUCGAAGGAACACAAAGCCAGUGAGCUCCCAAAAGGUCUCGUGCAAGGUAAAGAUGGGAAUAUGCAUAUAAGGCUUACAGGAUCCACUCCCUUGGGCGAUGUGGAAUGUUACAUUACACAUCAAUAUGCAGUGUAGCUCCAAUAACUGAACGUAAUGCACGGGUAAAGGCCGAACAAAUGUAAAACUAAUCUCUAUUACUUACAAUGUUUCGCAAAGUUUUUUAAGUUGGCGUGGUAGUUGUUUUAUUACUAUUCUUCAUUCCACUAUCAUUUAGAUAAUGCUUUACAACUCAAAGCGAUAAAGUGAAGUCGUAACAAGGCAUUAAAGCAAAUACAUCGAAAUUUUAUUCUGACGUAGGAAAUAUCCCACAAAUUUUUUAGCCCUAUAGAAGUUCAAUUCUCUGCUUAAGAUAGCGAAGAAUGAGGUGGGACGGAUGUUACAAUUAUACAAUGAUUAAAUACUCGGUCAGCUCUAGCUUGAAUGGCAGUUCUGUUUCCGGUGUGCUCAUAUGUAAAGGUGUUGUUCACGAAAACAUUAUGGCACGGUUUUCCCAACGCCACAAGGGCCCGGCAACUAAAGUCACCAAUUUUCUUCCCUUUGAAAACAUAGUUGUACACGUCGAAUGCAUAGUUUAUGCUGAAAUGCUUUUUGCACUCAACCACGGCCGGCGAAUCAUCCAAAUGCGCCAACGUUGGAAGUGUGCAAUUCGCCAAAAGCAAAAUGACCAUAAUUGGAAACAUGUUUAGUCUGGCCAUAAUGGUGGAAAGAAUGAGUAACUUUUGAUUUUCUUAGAAAAUGAUCCCUUAGAUGCAGUUGAACUUUGACGCAAGGAGUUGUACACUUAUAUAGGACGAGCCAAAGGUGCGAGUCAUUCGUAAAAUGAAAAACGCAUUUUCCUUUAAAACUACUUUAGCAACGUAUUUACUGAUGUGAGGUAUCAAAUACGAGAGUUUCUAAUUUGAUAUUUAUUUUGGUACCAUAAACGCAACUUACAAGUUCCCAUAAAUUGUUUAAUUAAUCUCAACAAUCAAAUAGCUAUUUAUUAUUUCACAUAAAAAUUACUUGUUUCAAAUUAAUACACUGACUAGCUUGUUACAAUAAAGUUGCGAAAGCCGUGAACUGAACUUUCAUGUCGUGUUAGUGGCUAUCGUUGCGUGAAAAUGAGAUGACAAGCAGGAAAAAGAGCGCGACUAGCCUUAAUUGUUCUGCAGUAAAUGGACAAACGUAUUUCUCGUCAUCAUUAUUCCUACUAUAUGAAAAUGAAAAUGUGGAGUAAGAGAUGAAUUUGUUAAGAAGUGAAGAAUUGUUGAAGUCCAAUAGAUUAAGUAAAUGAGCACACGUUUCUUGGUAAACUCAUUUUAGCACAAAUUAGUAUUAUAUCGCACGCUACUGUGUAUGGUACAAUACUCAUGCCUCACAAGCCCGAAUAUAAUGUUAAUGAGUUGCAGUUACGUCAAUGAUAAGUUUCAAAUCAUUCAACCAAUAUUCUUGUUUUGGUUAUUCAGACCAAAGAAAAAAAGACGGAAAAAAAAAAGAUACGGAGGUAUAAUCAUUUUUAUGACUGCAAUUGUACCUCUUAUAUAUAUAAAUAAUUUCUUUGGAGUGGAGUUCCAUAAAGCAUUGUACAUAUUAUUUUGCUUCCUUCCUUUUUUGCUGUGCAAAAUGAACACACAUUUUACAAAGUGUAGAAUGUCCAUAACAACCUGCACCAAAGGGCAAUAAGAGUCAAUCAAAAGUCUUUCAUAAGCCUAUUUUAACUUCAUUUUGUAAGAAGUUCGGUCAAUACACCAUGACGAAGAGCAACCUAAGUUUCUAGAAGAAAUAAGCAUUACAUGUCACAUCCUGGCCCAUGCUCUCACCACAUCCCGAACUCGACGCCACCGUAGAACGAUAUUAUCCGCUUUGGGCCCCGACCACGCCUUCACCAUUUUGUUUCAGGGAACUCACACGAGUAACUUCCCAGUGGGUCACCCAUCAUGUAUUGCUCUCGCACGAACUCAAUCAAAUUCAGAUUUCCGAUGGAACAUAAAGCCAGUGAGCUCCCAAAAGGUCUCGUGCAAGGUAGAGAUGGGAAUAUGCAUAUAAGGCUUACAGGAUCCACUCCCUUGGGCGAUGUGGGAUGUUACAUUACACAUUAAUAUGCAGUGUAGCUGCAAUAACCGAACGUAAUGCACGGGUAAAGGCCGAACAAAUGUAAAACUAAUCUCUAUUACUUACAAUGUUUCGCGAAGUUUUUUAAGUUGGCGUGGUAGUUGUUUUAUUACUAUUGUUCAUUCCUUUAUCAUAUGCUUCGCGAAGUUUUUUAAAUUGGCGUGGUAGUUGUUUUAUUACUAUUGUUCAUUCCACUAUCAUUUAGAUAAUGCUUUACAACUCAAAGCGAUAAAGUGAAGUCGUAACAAGGCAUCAAAGCAAAUACAUCGAAAUUUUAUUCUGACGUAAGGAAAUAUCCCACAAAUAUUUUAGCCCUAUAGAAGUUCAAUUCUCUGCUUAAGAUGGCGAAGAAUGUGGGGGGACGGAUGUUACAAUUAUACAAUGAUUAAAUACUCGGUCAGCUCUGGUUUGAAUGGCAGUUCUAUUUUCGGUGUGCUCAUAUGUAAAAGUGCUGUUCACGAAAACAUUAUGGCAUGGUUUUCCCAACUCCACAAGGGCCCGGCAACUAAAGUCACCAAUUUUCUUCCCUUUGAAAACAUAGUUGUACACGUCGAAUGCAUACUUUAUGCUGAAAUGCUUUUUGCACUCAACCACGGCCGGUGAAUCAUCCAAAUGCGCCAACGUUGGAAGUGCGCAAUUCGCCAAAAGCAAAAUGACCAUAAUUGGAAACAUGUUUAGUCUGGCCAUAAUGGUGGAAAGAAUGAGUAACUUUUGAUUUUCUUAGAAAAUGAUCCCUUAGAUGCAGUUGAACAUUGACGUAAGGAGUUGUACACUUAUAAGGGACGAGGCAAAGGUGCGAGUCAUUCGUAAAAUGAAAAACGCAUUUUCCUUUAAAACUACUUUAGCAACGUAUUUACUGAUGUGAGGUAUCAAAUACGAGAGUUUCUAAUUUGAUAUUUAUUUGGGUACCAUAAACGCAACUUACAAGUUCCCAUAAAUUGUUUAAUUAAUCUCAACAAUCAAAUAGCUAUUUAUUAUUUCACAUAAAAAUUACUUGUUUCAAAUUAAUACACUGACUAGUUUGUUACAAUAGAGUUGCGAAAGCCGUGAACUAAACUUUCAUGUCGUGUUAGUGGCUAUCGUUGCGUGAAAAUGAGAUGACAAGCAGGAAAAAGAGCGCGACUAGCCUUAAUUGUUCUGCAGUAAAUGGACAAACGUAUUUCUCGUCAUCAUUAUUCCUACUAUAUGAAAAUGAAAAUGUGGAGGAAGAUAUGAAUUUGUUAAGAAGUGAAGAAUUGUUGAAGUCCAAUAGAUUAAUUAAAUGAGCACACGUUUCUUGGUAAACUCAUUUUCGCACAAAUUAGUAUUAUAUCGAACGCUACUGUGUAUGGUACAAUACUCAUGCCUCACAAGCCCGAAUAUAAUGUUAAUGAGUUGCAGUUGCGUCAAUGAUAAGUUUCAAAUCAUUCAACCAAUAUUCUGGUUUUGGUUAUUCAGACCAAAGAAAAAAAGA